GAUGAACGCUGGCGGCGUGCCUAAUACAUGCAAGUCGAGCGAACAGGCGAGGAGCUUGCUCCUCUGACGUUAGCGGCGGACGGGUGAGUAACACGUGGAUAACCUACCUAUAAGACUGGGAUAACUUCGGGAAACCGGAGCUAAUACCGGAUAAUAUAUUGAACCGCAUGGUUCAAUAGUGAAAGACGGUUUUGCUGUCACUUAUAGAUGGAUCCGCGCCGCAUUAGCUAGUUGGUAAGGUAACGGCUUACCAAGGCAACGAUGCGUAGCCGACCUGAGAGGGUGAUCGGCCACACUGGAACUGAGACACGGUCCAGACUCCUACGGGAGGCAGCAGUAGGGAAUCUUCCGCAAUGGGCGAAAGCCUGACGGAGCAACGCCGCGUGAGUGAUGAAGGUCUUCGGAUCGUAAAACUCUGUUAUUAGGGAAGAACAAAUGUGUAAGUAACUAUGCAAGUCUUGACGGUACCUAAUCAGAAAGCCACGGCUAACUACGUG
This 497-nucleotide ribosomal RNA is filed under the name uncultured bacterium. Its description in RNAcentral is "partial 16S ribosomal RNA". It matches the Rfam family "Bacterial small subunit ribosomal RNA", at positions 28 to 507 of the family's 1533-position model. The record is from RNAcentral.